Molecule: transfer RNA, 72 nt
Filed under: Sus scrofa (pig)
Lineage: Eukaryota; Metazoa; Chordata; Mammalia; Artiodactyla; Suidae
Rfam family: tRNA
About the family: Transfer RNA (tRNA) molecules are approximately 80 nucleotides in length. Their secondary structure includes four short double-helical elements and three loops (D, anti-codon, and T loops).
Source: Rfam by way of RNAcentral
UCCCUGGUGGUCUAGUGGUUAGGAUUCGGCCCUGUCACAGCUGUGGCCCAGGCUCGAACCCUGGUCUGGGAA